GGAGGAUGACACUUUUCGGAGCGUAAACUCCUUUUGUUGGGGAAGAACCAUGACGGUACCCAACGAAUAAGCACCGGCUAACUCCGUGCCAGCAGCCGCGGUAAUACGGAGGGUGCAAGCGUUACUCGGAAUCACUGGGCGUAAAGGACGCGUAGGCGGAUUAUCAAGUCUUUUGUGAAAUCUAACAGCUCAACUGUUAAACUGCUUGAGAAACUGAUAAUCUAGAGUGAGGGAGAGGCAGAUGGAAUUGGUGGUGUAGGGGUAAAAUCCGUAGAGAUCACCAGGAAUACCCAUUGCGAAGGCGAUCUGCUGGAACUCAACUGACGCUAAUGCGUGAAAGCGUGGGGAGCAAACAGGAUUAGAUACCCUGGUAGUCCACGCCCUAAACGAUGUAUACUAGUUGUUGCUGUGCUAGUCACGGCAGUAAUGCACCUAACGGAUUAAGUAUACCGCCUGGGGAGUACGGUCGCAAGAUUAAAACUCAAAGGAAUAGACGGGGACCCGCACAAGCGGUGGAGCAUGUGGUUUAAUUCGAAGAUACGCGAAGAACCUUACCUGGGCUUGAUAUCCUAAUAACAUCUUAGAGAUAAGAUAGUGCUUGUUUACAAGAAAUUAGUGACAGGUGCUGCACGGCUGUCGUCAGCUCGUGUCGUGAGAUGUUGGGUUAAGUCCCGCAACGAGCGCAACCCACGUAUUUAGUUGCUAACAGUUCGGCUGAGCACUCUAAAUAGACUGCCUUCGUAAGGAGGAGGAAGGUGUGGACGACGUCAAGUCAUCAUGGCCCUUAUGCCCAGGGCGACACACGUGCUACAAUGGCAUAUACAAUGAGACGCAAUAUCGCGAGAUGGAGCAAAUCUAUAAAAUAUGUCCCAGUUCGGAUUGUUCUCUGCAACUCGAGAGCAUGAAGCCGGAAUCGCUAGUAAUCGUAGAUCAGCCAUGCUACGGUGAAUACGUUCCCGGGUCUUGUACUCACCGCCCGUCACACCAUGGGAGUUGAUUUCACUCGAAGUCGGAAUGCUAAAUUAGCUACCGCCCACAGUGGAAUCAGCGACUGGGGUGAAGUCGUAACAAGGUAACCGUAGGAGAACCUGCGGUUGGAUCACCUCCUUUCUA
Molecule: ribosomal RNA, 1113 nt
Filed under: Campylobacter hyointestinalis subsp. hyointestinalis
Lineage: Bacteria; Pseudomonadati; Campylobacterota; Epsilonproteobacteria; Campylobacterales; Campylobacteraceae
Description: bacterial SSU rRNA
Rfam family: Bacterial small subunit ribosomal RNA
Source: RNAcentral